UACGGGGGGGGCAAGCGUUGUUCGGAAUUACUGGGCGUAGAGGGCUCGUAGGCGGCCAACUAAGUCAGACGUGAAAUCCCUCGGCUUAACCGGGGAACUGCGUCUGAUACUGGAUGGCUUGAGUUUGGGAGAGGGAUGCGGAAUUCCAGGUGUAGCGGUGAAAUGCGUAGAUAUCUGGAGGAACACCGGUGGCGAAGGCGGCAUCCUGGACCAACACUGACGCUGAGUGAGCGAAAGCCAGGGGAGCAAACGGG
Molecule: ribosomal RNA, 254 nt
Filed under: uncultured bacterium
Lineage: Bacteria
Description: partial 16S ribosomal RNA
Rfam family: Bacterial small subunit ribosomal RNA
Source: RNAcentral